RNAcentral lists this ribosomal RNA (510 nucleotides) under fungal sp. FW18. RNAcentral's name for it is "eukaryotic LSU rRNA". The stretch from base 215 to 368 matches the Rfam family "5.8S ribosomal RNA". The record is from RNAcentral. Lineage: Eukaryota; Fungi.
GCCUUGUGGGGCUGUCUUAAACUCACAGCAAAUUCCAGUGAUGAAAACUUAUGCCGGGGGCCUCACGCCCCUGGGCCGGUUGAAUCCCACCCGUGUCUACAUACUAUUGUUGCUUUGGCAGGCCGUGGUCUCCACUGUGGGCUCUGCCUGCAUGUGCCUGCCAGAGGAUCAAACUCUGAAUUUUAGUGAUGUCUGAGUACUAUAUAAUAGUUAAAACUUUCAACAACGGAUCUCUUGGUUCUGGCAUCGAUGAAGAACGCAGCGAAAUGCGAUAAGUAAUGUGAAUUGCAGAAUUCAGUGAAUCAUCGAAUCUUUGAACGCACAUUGCGCCCUGUGGUAUUCCGCAGGGCAUGCCUGUUCGAGCGUCAUUAUAACCACUCAAGCCUGGCUUGGUAUUGGAGUUUGCGGUUCCGCAGCUCCUAAAAUCAGUGGCGGUGCCGGUGUGGCUCUACGCGUAGUAAUUCUUCUCGCGAUGGAGUUCCCCUGGUUACUUGCCAGAACCCCCAAUUU